AUCCGAGCUCGAGCUCUACUCAAUACUCCUUUAAGCUCGUUAGGCUCGAAGAUUAAGGGCAUUUUCGUCAUUUUAAUGUAUAUUUGGUACUCUAACCCAAAGUCAUCUCCCGUCUGUAGCCCUAAUUUUUCUUUCCUUUUUUGGUCUUAUCCUUUCCCGUCCCACAGCCAUUAGCCAGUCACUCUCCAAAUUUCCAUUCUCACCCCGCACCCCACAGCCUCCAUUUUCAUAGCAACCACACGCCGCACCUUCACCCUCUAUUCUCACCGCAGCUGCAUGCUGCACCCUGCAUUCUCACCACCAGGCACAGCCGCGCGCCAGCACCCUUCAUUCUCACCGCAGCCGCAUCCUCUAUUCUCGCCACCACCAUCACUGACUCAUCAUAUGGAGCAGCCUCACCCUCCUUGUGAAUCCGUGAGCAGCGUCAUACGGAGCCACCUCGAUAGAGCCAGGAGCCUCUACCAUAUCCCGAUUCGCUGCAUUCUGGUUCAUCAUCAAGUCCUGUGAUGGAGCAAAAUAAUGAAGACGUGGAACAAUUGAACUACAAUGAAGAAAGAGCUGAUGAAUUGAGUGAAAAAGAGAUAGAAAUGAUAGAAGAUGAUGGCAAUGAAGGAGGACAGCAAUUAGAUGGAGAUGGAGGAGCUUUAGGUUUUGGCUUUAUAUAUUCGAGCUUGUUGAAGUAUUAGAUUCUGCCUUGUAUUGUCAUUUGGCAUGAUUUGUCGAAUUGAAGAUGAUAAAUCAGGGAAUGUGUAUCUUCUUUUGUCAGCCUAAAUACGAGUGUUGCCAGGACCUGA
Long non-coding RNA from Coffea arabica (coffee), 794 nucleotides. RefSeq lists it as uncharacterized. NCBI's taxonomy places the organism in Eukaryota, Viridiplantae, Streptophyta, Magnoliopsida, Gentianales, Rubiaceae. The record is from RefSeq and is a predicted model, not a curated record.